ACAGUUUUAUUUGUCUACUAUAAUUACUUUGAUAAUAAUAAGAACGUACGGGAUACAAAAUGACUUUAAAAUAUAUUAUUUUGUUAUUUUUAAUUUACUUUUUUCCAAUGGCCUUAGCAGACGAUUUGACUGGAAAGGAAAUACUGGCAACGCAACGAUUUUUCAAUUACAUUACAGAUCAAGUAAAUGCUACGUCCUUUACCAUUGAUCAGUUAAAACAAUUUAUACCACAGCAUUGGUGGGAUAUCUUAGAUGAAUAUAUGAUCCCCAAAAACCCUUCUAAAGGAAAAAAAGUUGGUAUAGCCACAGUACAUGGUCUGAUGAAAAAAUUGAAAAGUGCAGGAGUUGAUUUUAUGCCAGAAAUUAUUCGCCGUUCAUCAACACACGCAGAAAGUAGUCAGAAUCAGAAUAAGUCCAAGGAAAAAAAAAAGUAAACGAGAAAGCCUUCCAUACAAAACAUUUUUAAAUGUUAAAUGUAUACUCCAAAUAUUCAGAAAAUAUAUUUAAAAUAUUCAAACAAAAUGUAAUAAUAUGAGAUUGUAAUUAAAUAAAUAAAACUAACAGUCAUAGGAUAA
Molecule: long non-coding RNA, 575 nt
Organism: Adelges cooleyi (spruce gall adelgid)
Lineage: Eukaryota; Metazoa; Arthropoda; Insecta; Hemiptera; Adelgidae
Exons: 3
Source: RefSeq, a predicted model, not a curated record